AGGGAUAUUGGUCAAUGGACGCAAGUCUGAACCAGCCAUGCCGCGUGAAGGAUGAAGGUCCUCUGGAUUGUAAACUUCUUUUAUCUGAGACGAAAACGGGAUUUUUAUCUCAAUUGACGGUACCAGAGGAAUAAGCACCGGCUAACUCCGUGCCAGCAGCCGCGGUAAUACGGAGGGUGCGAGCGUUAUCCGGAUUUACUGGGCGUAAAGGGCGCGUAGGCGGCGCGGUAAGUCACUUGUGAAAUCUCUGAGCUUAACUCAGAACGGCCAAGUGAUACUGCUGUGCUAGAGUGCGGAAGAGGCAACCGGAAUUCUUGGUGUAGCGGUGAAAUGCGUAGAUAUCAAGAGGAACACCUGAGGCGAAGGCGGGUUGCUGGGCCGACACUGACGCUGAUGCGCGAAAGCCAGGGGAGCAAACG
RNAcentral lists this ribosomal RNA (419 nucleotides) under uncultured bacterium. RNAcentral describes it as "bacterial SSU rRNA". It matches the Rfam family "Bacterial small subunit ribosomal RNA", at positions 357 to 774 of the family's 1533-position model. The record is from RNAcentral.